Molecule: ribosomal RNA, 478 nt
Filed under: uncultured bacterium
Lineage: Bacteria
Description: partial 16S ribosomal RNA
Rfam family: Bacterial small subunit ribosomal RNA
Source: RNAcentral
GACGAACGCUGGCGGCGUGCUUAACACAUGCAAGUCGAACGGUAAGGCCCUUCGGGGUACACGAGUGGCGAACGGGUGAGUAACACGUGGGUGAUCUGCCCUGCACUUCGGGAUAAGCCUGGGAAGCUGAGUCUAAUACCGAAUAUGAUCAUCAGCUUCAUGGUUGGUGGUGGAAAGCUUUUGCGGUGUGGGAUGGGCCCGCGGCCUAUCAGCUUGUUGGUGGGGUAAUGGCCUACCAAGGCGACGACGGGUAGCCGGCCUGGGAGGGUGACCGGCCACACUGGGACUGAGAUACGGCCCAGACUCCUACGGGAGGCAGCAGUGGGGAAUAUUGCACAAUGGGCGCAAGCCUGAUGCAGCGACGCCGCGUGAGGGAUGACGGCCUUCGGGUUGUAAACCUCUUUCAGCACAGACGAAGCGCAAGUGACGGUAUGUGCAGAAGAAGGACCGGCCAACUACGUGCCAGCCGCCGCGGUAA